Macadamia integrifolia is the source of this 15470-nucleotide long non-coding RNA. RefSeq lists it as uncharacterized. The record is from RefSeq and is a predicted model, not a curated record. Lineage: Eukaryota; Viridiplantae; Streptophyta; Magnoliopsida; Proteales; Proteaceae. The transcript is spliced from 8 exons.
UCUUGCUCUGGGAAACUCCAAGGGAAUCCAAAAUUGCUCCUCCUAAACCCUCCACUCUUCUCGCCCCCGAACCCUCCCGUUCCGAUUAAGAAGCAGAUCCAUGGCGACUUCUGCAAAAGAUAAACAUACAUCUCGAUUCAAUGCUUCAGAGAUCGAGAAUUCGAAUCCGAAUCUCUCGAGCAGAAGUCCUCUGCAGAAAACAGCGGAAUCUCCGGUUAUCAAAUCGGCAAAAUCAGAAAAAUCUGCCCCAAAACUUUCUUAUCAGAUCGUUUCUCCCCGUACCAAGAUUCAAGAAAGGAAAUUCGUAGUAGCCAAGAAGAAGUCGAAGGCAACCACUUCUGUUGUUGUUUCAUGCAAAUGUCAAGAGAAGAUGGGAGGUGAUCUCAAGAAAUGCCCUUGUAUUGCUUACGAGAAUCUCAGAGCUUCUCAAGAAGAGUUUUUCAGAAAUGAACAGGACUUCUUGAUCUGGUUCAACAAAUGUUGAUCUUCCCCGGCGUUGUUUGAAGGGAUGGUUCGUCACUCCCAUCUGUGGUUUGGGACGCUUUUUUUAAUCUUCUCAGGCGAUGUUUGAAGGGCUCUGAUGCUGCGAGACGCGAUUGUAAAUAACUUUCUCUCUUUCUUGGCCAUCUCUCUUAUGUAAGGCAACAAGAACUAAGAAGAGGUUCUGUCGAUCGGUCAUGGCGAUCUCAGAAAAGCUUAUGAAAUUCAAAUAUCAUUUCAUCGCCGGAACUAUUGUUUCACUUGUGUUCCUGUUGCUGGUCCUAAUUGCGCCCAGAUUCGUAAUCGUGAUUGUUUACUUUUGGCCUCUCUUCCUCUCUACAGCCAUGUUUCUCGCCGCCGACGUCGUCUUUAGUUAUCUUGAUAAAUCUUCAUAUGGUUUGGGAUGCUUUUUGAUCUUCUCAGGCAUUGUUUGAAGGGAUGGUUCGUCACUCCCAUCUGGUUUGGGACGCUUUUUUUUAAUCUUCGCAGGCGACGUUUGAAAGGCUCCAGAUGCUGCGAGACGCGAUUGUAAACAACUUUCUCUCUUUAUUGGCCAUGCGAUCCCAGAAAAGCUUAUGAAAUUCAAGCAUGUUUCUCACUGCCGAUGUCGUUUUUGGUCGGUUAUCUUCAAUGGAACCUGAAGAUUCCGGGGAGAAAAGCAGGAGAAGGGAUCUUAGAUUACGUUGUCGUACAACCAGAGCUGGUGGAGGAAGCGGAAGAGGAGACUCAGAAGACCCCGAAAUCUGAGAAAUCCGACAAUAAAGAAAUGGUUUCGAAUCUCGAGUUUCAAAUAAGUAGAAUCAAGCCCUAUUUCUCUUUUCUUUCUUUCUUUCCUUCUCUGUAACUUUCUAUCUCUUUCUUUCCGAUCAUACUGCUCUGUCCUUGCGGUCUCACUUUGUCUUCUCUCUCUCUCUCUUCUCUUUCUCCUCUCUCCAGUUACUAGUUACGGGUCUUGGGUUUGUUACAAUUUGUACAUGUAGCCAAGGUUUUGUUCUUUCGUCUGUAAUUUGUUUCUCUCUUUUUGUAGGUAUCUCAUAGGGAGUAGUGUGUUAUAUCGUCCUCAUCUCUCAUUAAACAAAUCAAAGGAAUGCAUGGAAGAGUUGAGGAUACUAAACUUGUAAGGUUGCUAGAAGAGCCUAUUUGUGAGGAAUGUCGUUUGAUAUAUCAUCUAGAUAUUUCUGCAGUGUAUCCAACAUUAUUUUAACAAACAGGUUCCAGGUAUGUUUGGUGCAUUCUCCUCACGUUGUCAUUGUGAAUAUUGUUCUACUGUUUAUCUGAUACCUCUGCUCAACAGUUUAAGUAUGUUCUCUAUUUGGAUUGACAUUGUUUUUAAUAGUAAGUUUCUUUUUCUAUAAGAAAUUCAAUGCAAUUUCUGUGUUUUAGUUUCUGAUAAAAUUUACUGCAGUGUGCCUACAUCUUUUGUGGCUAACCUAUAUCCUUCUUGGAUGCAUAUUAUAUGAUCUUGGAGUAAAUCUUUUAAUAAUCUAUUAUUGUAUGAAGUAUAUGAUCUAUCAUAUUGAAUAAGAUUUGUGCAGUGAUAUGUCAAACAACCAUCUUGAUGGACCUAUCACCUAUUCUUGAUAACUUUUUGGAGCUUUCUCACAUCCAGAAAUUAUUACUGUUUACUAGAAAAUAAUUCAUUGAAUGAUUCUGCUCCAUCCACCACCUGGUUAAAAUAGUACUUCCAGUUAUGCUGAAACACUUGCUUUGUAAGACUUCAAACACCAUAGAACACCUUUUCUUUCCCCCUGCCCACCCUUUUGUUUCUCUUUCUCUUCAGUUUUAGUAUCUCUUGUAUCUUACCAAGAAUCAAAGUCCAAGGUCUUGCAAAAAUAUGUAGCAACCCUAGGGAGUUGGUUAGAAUUCUUGUUGAACUUUACUUCACAUUUCUUUUUUCAGGGAUUUCCUAAAUUACUUACUAACAAAUAUUUCUAGGAGUCUUAACCUACCUCCAAAGGUCACCAUCAGGUUUGCAUCUGCAUUUACAACUGCAUUUCUGAUAUCAUUCAGGACUCAAUAUUUCUCUUUGCAUUAUCCAAUCUUCUCAAUUUGUGAUUGAAUUGUUCUUCACUUCAUGUUAUGCUCCUUAAGAGCAGCUCCCUGAGAAUUAAUUAUCUGGGAUUAAUAUAAAUUUUCAUUGUUUUGAUGAAUAUUAACUUAAUAUGGGUAUAACUGCACCUCCAAGCUCUCUUUUUCAGAAAGGUUGAGUUUCUUUUUAGCACUCUCCUCCAGGAAGGUCUUGACUACUCUAGCUUACUUCACCCAAUCAGUUGGACUUAGGUCUGCCUCUCUAAAAUGGAAGGGAGCAUGGGCCUAAGAAUAAUCAAGGAUGUCAAUUCCUUAAGAGAGCUAGGAGGAAUGGAGCACAUAUUUGAUUAGUUCUAGGCAACCUGCAAAAGGGAGGAGGUUACCUUUCCAUAAUUGCAGCUGCUAGCGUAUAAGGUCCAAAAUAGAAUUGCAGUGAUGCUAAGACAGCUCAGAGAGAGUCAAGGGGAGCCCAAGGUACUUACUCAGAUGCUGCCCAAGGAGAACCUGGAUAGAACCAACAGAUUGCAAUUUUUGGUCUUGGAGGCACUGGCUGAGAAUAUAGGGAUUUAUGGAAUUUUAUAUGGAGGCUGAAAAAACUAUCAAAGCGGUGUAGACAAGAACAUGAUGGUCUCCACUGAAGAAGGGGUGGCUUCGGAGAAGAUCAUGAGAUCAUCUAUGAAGGUCAGAUGGUAGAUGCCGAGAGCCAUGCACUUCGGAAGGGGGAGAUAAGAAGUUUGUUCAUCUUAAAUUGAAUACUUUGGAAAGGAUCCAAAUUGCAGAACUGAAAAUAUAUAGAGAUAGGGGGCACCCCAUGGAAGCGCUAAAGAACCCUGUAAGACUCCUAUUAAUGAGCACCAAGAAGUGGGCUGAAGAGAGAGAAAUUCUGAUCCAUUUAACAAAGGGCAUUUUGAUCAUCACAUCCCCUAUAAAAUGCCAUCUCAGAUAGUCAUAGGCUUUUUGGAUGCCAAUAUUCAUUAGCGCAACAUGUGGGUGGUUUUUCCUCUCAAAUCUUUUGACAACCUCAUUGCAAAAUUGGAUGUUAUUGGAAAUAUGCUUCUAUCUAGGAUAAAUGCAGAUUGGUUGUCACUAAGUCAAUGACCAGCUUUAGCCUAUAAGCAAGGAUUUUCCUGAUGAACUUAUGGAGCAUGUUGCGAAGGGAGGGACCUUCUUUCUUGGAAACAAAGUAAAGUGUGAUUAACCUCUUUUAUUUGAUUGGGUUUGUAGAAAAAACUAAGCAAGGCUUUGAUGGGGUGGUCGCCUUUGAUGAUGCUCUAGGCUAAGGAGAAGAAACCCAUAUUGAAGCCAUCUUGACCAAGGGCUCUACUAGCCUUAUGAGAGUGGAUGGCAACAAAAAUCUCUUCCUUAAAGGGGAGAGCCUGAAGGGAUCCAUGAAAGGAUUGGAAAGGAAAUUAUUGAGAUGGAACUUAGGGAUAGCUUCAAAAGAGGGGAGGGGAGAAGGUCUGAAUAUCUUCACAAAUUAGUCCACAACAUCUCUCUUGAUGUCUUCAGCCCUUAAAAACUUGGGGAAUUGUCUUUAGUAAGGAGAAUAGAAAUGGAGUUGGCAUCGGUUCUUGCUCUUAUGGGUUAUGGAAAUAAUCAGUGGUGGAAUCACCUAGCUAGAGCCAUUUGAUUCUAUCUUCAUAUUUUAGAUCUCAUGCGCAAAAGGCUCCAACUUUGGAAGGGAAAACUUCUUUCUUAUGCUGAUAGCCUAGAAUUGAUUAGAUUUAUCCUUCAUUCCUUCUACAUCUAUUGGUCUGGUAUUUUUAAGUUGCCUCGGACCACUACCUAGGAUCUGGAAUCCCUUAUGUGUGCCUUUCUCUAGAAAGGAUCUGAAGCUUCUAGAUUUCUUCACCCUAUUAGCUGGGAUUCUGUUUGUCUUCCUAAAGAUGAGGGGGUCUUGGUAUGAGAAAAAUUAUAGAGGUCUAGCACCCUCAAAUUGAUCUGACAGCUUGUGGCUAAGAAGAAAAGUUUUAUCUUCUAUAACUAGUAUUAAUUGUGUUAUGCUUCGUACUAUCUACUUAUGACAUACAAGGAACUGAAAAUUUUGAAAUCCAUUUUCUAUUAGUGAAAAAUUAUUCUAUUGGAUAUAAGUGCCCAAGAAAGCAGGGCUUGAUAUUAUUUCCCCCCCCCCCCCCCAAACCCUCUAAUCGUAUACGACAAAAGAAAAACUUUCAAAAUCCCUAAAACUCUUACAAGUCCAUGUAUUAUAACUGAUUGUAGCCUGUGCAGAAGCUCGAGGUUUUUCCAUAUAUUAUUUACUUUUGGUGAAUGUUUUCCUCUAUGAUAUUACCUAGGUUAUAAUUAUCAAACUUCACAUUUUGGCAGGGUAACGCGUUUACAAGUGUAGUUAGGUUGAUUAAUCGAACACUUUUUUGGACCAAUAAAAAAAUUCAUUACAAUGAUUGAAUGGGAGGGAACAAGCAAAACGCAAGUCCUUGCCUUUACAAAGAGAGGAGAGGGCCAGCCAAAAGGAAGUUGACAAGCCCCACCGAAACCAACACGCUAAGAAAAGAAGGAAAAGAGAAUGAUUACAACAUAGAAACUAGGCCCAACCUGAAAGAACCGUACAACCCAGGGUAGGAGGAGCCUCAAAGCAAAAGGCUCACCAAAUCAUAACAAGAUGUCAUGAUAGAGAGCAUGGCUACAAAUUUCCAUACUUUGGACGGAGGAUUUCUCAUUAUUGGGCAAGGAAUAGAUUUUAUAAGGGUAGGGAAGGGGGCUAUUGUCAUGCCAAAAGUAGAUACAAAUGGGGACCACGAGGGGUUGAAGGAGGAACAUGGGAGGAUAUGGAGGGGAGCGGUGGGACAAAGAUGGGUGCUCCUGGGGUGGAGAGACCAACACAGGGAUGGGAUUAGGGGUGAGGGAAUAAAGGGGGGAGGAAUGGGUGGGUCCCCAUUUAGACCUAGAAGGCUGGAUCUAAAGAGGUUAGUGAGGUUGUUGGGGGUAGGCCAAGUGGGCCAACAGAGUAGGUUCGAUGUGGAGAUGGGGCAAGGCGAAGUGAGAGUUGGGGUGGGGGCGAAUACUGUCUUUAUUGAUGGUGACCCGAGGUGCUUGGGCUGAACAAGUUUCAAACUGAGUCAAAUAAGGCUCUAGGGUUUUCUCUUAGAAGAAUCCUUGAUUUAGAUCAAAGUAAGAGAUGUUUCUUGCAGAGCACACGAUAGGUGUUUAAUAUUUGUUAUAAUCCAUUAAGUGGGGGAGUCUUACGGAGGUGGUUUGGUGUUCCAUAUAUCUGCAGCAAAUUCCCACUAGCUAGGAAGAUAUGGGUCCUUGAGUUUUGCCUAGAAAUUCUCCUCCAGUAGGUGUCGCAGGAUAUGAACAGAACAACACCAGUAGCAGAUCAUGGUAGUUAGUAAAGAGCCUCCUGAUAUGCUUUGAACAAAUCAAUUAUAACCUACAGAAAAUUAAGGAAAUAAAAGGGGAAAACAAAAACUGAUAGAAGGAUGAGAAGGGGAAGAAUGAUGUGGAUUAGGCCUCUCACCCCGCGAAUAUUUUUGGGCAUCUGAACCGUAGAAGAUACUAUUCAAUUUUUAUCUGUCAAAAUCUUUGCCAAAAGGCAACAAUUACUCCUCUUAAUGGAAACAAAUAAUAUAAGAAACUAUUACAAAAAGGAAACUAGUAGGGAAAACAGAAAUUGAUCCUAUUUAAAAUGUUUCCUAUUUGAAAACUAGUUUUUUCUAAGAGCAUAAAAUCCUAUUUUUAGUGACUUUCUAAUUUUCUUCCUCCAGCUGUAUCUUUGCUGAUCAAGCUUCACAAUAAGACAAAAUAACAGCCCAAUGCUGAGAUUGGUAUCAAGGAUUUUAAGUCUUUUAGAAUCUUUCCUAGGAUUUCCUCUUACUUGCUGGUUAAGUCACAUGAAUAAGACAAAGCAACACUCAAACUGAAAUCGGUAGAGGGAUGUUUGUCCUCUAUAGAUGGCUUCUUCAAGGCUGGACUGCUGGGAUCAAUUGGCUGGUCUUUGCUAGUCCUCCUUACUAAUGCUAAUCAAGCCAUCUACAAUAAUGAUCCAAGGGUUGGAUCGAUGGCUGUAAUAGGUGGAAUAAAGUAGAAAGUUUGGAAACAAAUUUAGCAAUAUCCCCAAAACUAAAAAUCUAUUGAGCAGAUCAAUACCAAGGAUGUCCUGGGACCUGGUCAAUGGAGAUGGACGUCCAAAUAUCUCAGCCAACUGAGGGCUGGAUAUAUAGAUUUUACUAGAAAAUAGAAAGUAGUUUCUUAAAAAAAAAAAGCUUACUGUUACUAUUGAUGGGAUCAAUUGAUGAAGCCUUUAUUCAGAUUGAAGGAAGGCCCUGGAAUUUAGGUCAACACUUCAAAAGGUCACAAGGAUCUGAUGUUCCAAUCAAGAGAUAUAAAGAAUAGAUGAAUUCAGAAGGAAAAUAGAGCCAGUAGCUUGGAAGCACAGGGUGUAGGAUGUAAUAGUGAUGGCUCCAACAACACUCUGUACACUAACGUUAGUUCCUUCCAACGUACACCAACGUAGUUCCUUCCACAACAGCACAACAAACAAUGGUCAUAGCUACAAGUGGCCAGCGCCAAUAGGCCUAAAGUUACUGAGAACUUAAAAUAGAAACAAGAGAAGAAGAUGGGGAUAUAACUAAGGCCUAUCACCUAUGGCUUUGGUCAGUAUCUCACUAAGCCCAAAGGCAUCUCUUACUUCAAUACCGUUUCUUACAAUAAGAGCAAGACAACAAAGGCACAAUAGCCAAUUUCAUUAAACUUCAAUUAAAAUUUUUUUUUUAGGGGCUUUAUGGCGCUUACAUUAUAAGGAAGAGUAAUCAAGUGCACAAUGCUCCCACUAAUCCCUUCAAAUGAAACUAAUAAAAAUGGAAACUACUAAAAGAAAGGUCCACACAUUUAGUAGUGGGUCCUUAUACAACAAGUAACUAAUAAAUACAAACUAAGGAACUACUAUAUAACAAAAUAGAAAGCAAAGUAACUACGUAGCAAGCCCUGGAUGGCUAGUUUAACCUAAACUCCCUUUGUUGAGGCCAGAAGAUCUGAAGAUGCAUGUAUAGCCAAAUGUCCUAUUUACCCUUGUUCGGGUCAAAACAUACCCUGGAUGGCCAGUUUGACAAAUGCACACCCUUGCAAAGAGGUCAAAAGAUGACUGGGAUCGCAAAGUGUUAGAUUUACCUUGUUGUGGUUUGAGCAAUCGGAUCAGAUCGAUAUUAGGUUUGACCGAUAGUGAUUGUUGGCCGAUAUCGUAUUGGUGCAAAUGAGGGGUAAAGUGGUAAAAGUGGCUUUAUGUGUAAAAUCGGGGGUAUUUUUGUUUGAUCUACAACAAUCUGAAUCGAUAUCAACCUUGAUUGAUCCCAAUCCGACACCAAGUUCUCAAACCAUUUGUGGAAGACUCGGAAUAUGUAACUUCUCUUAUUUUAUUAUUAUUAUUAUUAUUUUUGUUUUUUUGGGGGCUAUGUAGAUCUUGGUAAUCUUUAUUCGAAGAUGGUGAGACAGUGCAAAUACAUUCUGUGCAUUUAACCCAACUUGUGUUGCUGUUUUAAUAACUCAUCAUUGAUGUUACUAUUAUUCAAGAGCCCGGAUCCUCUCCUAGACACUGCAAGUUGGUUUAUGGACCCUGCCCCUUCCUUCCCUAUGACCCCGCCCUGCCAUUACACGUAAUACCUGCCUCUCUGGAAAAUCUACCCCUGUAAUUGUUGCCACUCUCUACCUACAAGCCCGCAAUCCCCGGUAUCUCCCGCAAUUGCUUCUGCUACAAACCUUAUCACCCCUGCUAUUGCCCCUGAAUAACCCCGUCUCCUGUUUCCCUUCUCUGUAAGCACUCCUCGCCUUUGGGGAAAACUGAACAAAUUAAUACUCAUUUAUUACUAGACAAAAAAGUCAGAAGCCUUGAAUCACACAUUACCUUACAAUUCUCAGAAGCCUUGGGAAAAAUAGAAAAAAUGAACAAAACAUAGUCACAACAACCCUCUACUCCUAUUCUCCUUCUUGUCCCAUCUAGUCGAAAUAAUAAAUUGAAAAUGUGUGUGAUGUCUUUGUGAGUAAAACCAUACAUAAUAUAUGUUGUCUAAAUUUUUAAAAAGCAUUGUUUGCCUGACCCUCCUCCCCGACCCCACAAAAAUAAGCAUAUUGAUAUAUUUUAUUGAUCCCGAUCAAUUUUAUUAGUAAUUUAUGUCUAAUAUGUGGGAAAGUGAUUGAAAAUUUUUUGAUAGUUUCUUCCGCCAUAGUUGAUUCUAUACUAUCCAUGCUAUAAGGUUUGGUUGCACAUUACCUUACAAUUCUCAUAAGCCUUGGGAAAAAUAGAAAAAAUGAACAAAACAUAGUCACAACAACCCUCUACUCCUAUUCUCCUUCUUGUCCCAUCUAGUCGAAAUAAUAAAUUGAAAAUGUGUGUGAUGUCUUUGUGAGUAAAACCAUACAUAAUAUAUGUUGUCUAAAUUUUUAAAAAGCAUUGUUUGCCUGACCCUCCUCCCCGACCCCACAAAAAUAAGCAUAUUGAUAUAUUUUAUUGAUCCCGAUCAAUUUUAUUAGUAAUUUAUGUCUAAUAUGUGGGAAAGUGAUUGAAAUUUUUUGAUAGUUUCUUCCGCCAUAGUUGAUUCUAUACUAUCCAUGCUAUAAGGUUUGGUUGUUCAAGAGUUUAUGGAGCUGGCUGCAGAUCUGAUGCACCGACGCUCCUUUUUAUUAGGGCUUGGAACCAGCAGCAUAAUAACAAAGGCCUGGCUGGAUUUUCUCGGAUUGUUGACUUACAGAUUCUGUUGGUUGAAUCAUAGAAAUAUUGUUUAAGUUCCCGAAGGUAGUUGCAGCUUUUUUUCUUGAUUUUUUAGACGUAAAACUGUUUUAGCCUAAUGGUUCAAUCCGAUGGCCUGAACAACAAAUUAUAGUAGAUUAAAUAUGUGUUUAAUGGCCAUGGCACUGGCCUGUAAUUUUCUUGAAGACCAAAACAUGAAACCGGAUUCUGUUUAGUAGUCUAUAGUUUGACCAACAAAUAGUUUAAUCCAGGAUUGAACCGUUGACCUUCUAUGGUGUGUUUUUUAAGCAUUAUGACACUUGGUCUAAACUGUCCAAGGAUUUGUGAGAUCAUUGGUUUAAGAAAGAGGCGACUACUAACAUUGUUUAAUGCAUUUGGUGCCACCUAAUUUUUCUUUUGAUAUUCACACUUUUUUCAUGUUUGUAAAACUAUUUAUUUCCUAUCAUUACAUAGUGUCCUACUGAACUUCUGAAUACUAUUUGAUUAAUUUUAAUUUUUUGUGGUACAUUCAACUAGUUUUCGCUAGCACUAUUAUGGUGGAGCUUGGUGAAGAUUGGCUUACAUCAUAACUUUCUGAUAAGAGUUCCACAAAACAUCUCUUCUUUUGUAAUUAUAGUUUCAGUUUUUGACUGUGUUACAUUGCUGAUUUCUUUGCAAUUUUAUCUUUUUAUGUAGAAUCGAAAGACCAUGGGCAUGGGGGACUCAUCUGGCUCAUAUACUAACAUAUAGCAAAACCUCAAACUUUAUUAAUCCAGAUUUUGAGUUUUGGAAUAGUUGCAUUUCGAAAAGUCAACAGAACACUCCAAACAAGUUCCAACGGUGAUGUGAAAUGCGGGUCAAACUUCGUCAAUGGAAGGGGAAAAUUACAAUGAUGGACUGAUUCAAUCCUUACAUGAUGCAUAACAUAACUCAUUAUUGAAGAUCUUUGGGUUUUAUACUAACUGGUUUGAUGUAGAUGGAAAUGCAUGGGUGAAGGCACUAUCUUAUCAGAUUAAGCUUUACAUGUACUGGAGGUUUCGAGGCAGUUUCAGCGUGAGAAAAGCGAUAGAAGAGCGGUUACGAGGUGCAUCCAAGAAUUAAGGAUUAAAGGGAGGUGAUUUACUCUGUUGAAAGAGUCUCAGAAUGCAGGAAGGAUGAAAAGCUCUCUAGCCUCAAAAUCAAAUGGAAGCCUCUUAAUUGGUGUUCCCAAAAUCUUGUAACCAUUUGUCUUGUUUGUUUCAUAGGUAUGGUCCUCCCAACUUGGAAGUAUAUCCUUAACGAUUGAGAAUGACCUUUGCAAGUAGAUGGACAGGACAUCAGACUUUAAAAUAAAUUUAUGGAACUAACAAUUACACUUGGUAUGCUCUUUCAUAUUACAUCCUUUCUGAAAUGCCCCUUUUGAUGAUUUAGGCUGAGUGAAAUUACAAUUAUUACUCCAAAUGGCCUAGGAUGGAGAUUCAACUUGUGGCAAGUGUCUAGACAAUGUUUUCUUUUUGACUUUUCAUUGAUUUAAUAGCUGAAUAUUGUUAGUCUAAUUAUUUAUUUAUUUUUUAUUUUAUUUCUUUAUAACAACAACAAAAAAACUCAGCCUUAUCCUACCUUAAUGGGGUUGGCUACAAGGAUCCAUGAAAAAGGAAAUUAAAAUACAUAAUUAAAUUAAAAAUAACAAGUAAAUAAAUAAAAGGAGGGGGAGAUGAAUAGAGGCAGAUGAAAGUAAUAGGAAAGAGGUCCAGCCACUAAGUCAGUGCUUGACUUUUAAUGAUUUGUCUAGUGGUUGACUUGUAAUGAAAUCAAUAAAUCUCCACUGGUUGGGUUGUGGCUGCCAAAUCUUUUUGCAAAACAAACAUUUAUUUUGUUAAAUAUCCAUGCAAACAUUUUUUUUUUGUCCGAAAGCUUGUGUCUUUGGUAUACGCAUUUAUGAUAUGCUUGUUUCCCUUGCCACUUCCUUUAGGUUUUAUGUUAUGUGGUCAAUUAUUCUCUGAGUAAUUUAAUUUUAUCAGUACCAUUCUGAAAAGGUGCUUUCUUAAUUUGCAAGCAACAAAGUAUUAAGGAAUAUCACAUACAUGUUUGGAUGAAUGUAUUAAUAUUCUUAUCAAGUCGUAUGACCAUGGCCAUUGAAAUGCAACAAGUUAUCACCUAUCUUUAUCCCCUUUGCAAAGGAUCUAUAUUAGAACUCUUUUUAAUUUUUUGUUUUUUUUUUAAGAUAGAACAUUCUGCCUUUCAUCUUAGGUAAGGCAAACCGCUCUCCUUUAAGGAAGCAUCUAGUUCCAUCUUUCUUUCGUGAGAAGCACUUUACCAUUGCCACUGCCCUUUUAACUUAUUGAAAGAUAAAUUUUUACAGAAUUUAUAACAAAAUUUUAUUAGGGUGAGAGCCUGAGAGGGGAAUGUAACUCUUGUAUCUAUGGAUGAGAACACAUUUACAGGGUCGAAUUCUGUAGAAUCAGAUAGUUUGAAAAUGAAGAAUUGUUUGUAUAGGAAAUUAUAUAUCAGAAUAUUAAGAGAUCAAACAUAUAAGAGUAAACAAGUUGUUUUUAUGGUAAGAGAAUUUUCAAACUAUCACUUGCAUUGCCUCUUUCAGACACCUGUAACAAUGGGCUGAAAUUGUGGUUGAACAGAAAUAGUUUCUUACUGUGUUUGCAGGUUCCCUUAAAUUAUUAUAGUUUUAUUUCACUCUCUCUCUCUCUCUCUCUCUCUCUCUCUCUACUAUGUUGAAUGUAUGUCUCUGCGACAGAUAAGCGGUGAACUAUGACAUUCGUGGGGAAGGGAUUUGGCAUUGGAGUUUUAUAGAAAUCACAAUCUUCUACAAAAAAUGUUAGAAUGUUUUUAUUCUCUCGCCAUAUUUUAUUAACAAUGAAUAUUAAUGGAAGUACGUUUUCAUCCUCUCUCUCUCUCUCUCUCUUUAUAUAUAUAUAUAUAUAUAUAUCUUUGUCACACAGCUUGAAAGUCUGUCCUUGCAGCAGAGAAGUGUUUCACUCAUGACAUUAGUGGGAAAGGAAAGGUGAUCGAAAUUGGGGUUUAAUGGAUUUUCUCUUUUGUCACUAUACCGAGUGAAGUAUAAGCUUCACUAAAAUGGUACGGUUAAGAGUGCCGAGCAUCUCAUCUUAAAUACUUGGUGAAGCGAUUUUAAGCAGUCUUUUCUCAUCUCACGGUAUCUACAAUUUUCAAGCUUUAUUUCUCAUAUGAAGCUUCAGUGGGAUUCCAAAAUUAUGCAUCUAGUCAAUCUUUUUAUUUGUUUCAUUUUUAAGUUGCAAAUUUUACACGAUCUUUGAGAUAUUGUUGGCAGGAUCUAAAGAAACCAACGUCGUGGAAAUCCCUGUCAAUGAAGAGCAUCAACAGAAAGCUCCAGUCUGCUGUAGCCACAUUUUUUCCAGUACAGUAGCACCCAUUAAUGGAAAUCUCACAGAGUACGGGUCAUCCGUUGCAACUCAAGCUCUGGCAAAGAGAAUAAGACCUCUUCUGGCGGCGAAUUGCCAUGAUGGAGACCCUAAUGGACAAUAUAAAAUGGGGAAUUAUUUUAGUUGUGUUGUUUUAUUCUAAUCCUUACAUAGAUUUUUCCUUAUCAUUUUCUUAAGCUUUUCCAGUCGUUCACAAGAAUAUGCUUGUAGGAGAUGGUGGUUUCUAUCUUUGCUAUCCGUAAUUUUUUCACUUCCUUAAUCCAUUUGAUCUAGAUGACCUGCAAAGUUUCAAGGUAGUUGCAGAGAGACAAGUGAUAGCAGAGCAGUUUUGAGGUGCAUCCAAGAAUUAAGGAUGAAAGGAGGAGUUUUGAUAUGUUGAAAGAGCUUUAGAAUGCAAUGAGGAUGAAAAGCUCUGGAAUUGGAAAUCAAAUGGUAGCUUCUUUCUUGGUGUUCCCAAAAUCUUCUAACCAUCUGUCUUAUUUGUUUCAUAGGUUUGGUCUUUCUGGCUUUCAAUUUCCUUUGUGGUUGAGAAUGAUCUUUGCACAAGGUAGGAUGGGAAUGCAGGCUUAUAAAAUAAAUUUGAACCAACAACUAUACUUAGUAUGCUCUUUCAGAUUACAUCCUUUCCAAAAUACCCAUUUUGAUGAUUUAGAUUGAGUGAAAUUAAAAUGACAAGCUAUAAAUGUCCUGCUAUUUAGAUUCUACUUGUGGCAAGUCAUAAUCUCUUGUCUUAUAUUUCCUUUUUUUUAGUUAUUUGCCCUUCCCCCUUGUACCUCAUUGUAUAUCCAUCUACUACAUAUCUUUAUUUUGGGCCCUAUUUCUUUCUAAGUUGUUAAUAGUUCAUGGUUAUUAAUAUUUGAAUGGUGUUCUUGUUAAAUUCCUACAUCUUUCUCAUUACUAGUAUUUCUGUUGGGUUUCUUGUUUAAACUAAGUUUUGAACUGUUUAUGACAAGGAUGCACUACAGUAGUAUAGACUAUAGACUGGUCAUUCCCCUAAUUUUUAACACCCUGAAUUUUGAGGCAGCUGAAUUCCAGUGUUGGGAUCUGGAUGAGAUAGGGGUACUGGACUGUCAACCUAUGAACCUCACACAUACAGUACUUUAAGGGAGGAAUUGACAGAUUUACUAGUAAAAUAGGAGGGGUAAAGUAGUCUAGAGUAGUGGAAAUGGUCCCAUAUCUAAAGGUUUGUACAGCACGAAGGUUUAGACUGUUGAGGGCCCAAAAAUAAGGCAACCAGCAGGUUACCCUCUGGCAAACCGGCCUGCUGGUCCGGGUAAUAGAAUGCCAAAAUUGGGUUUUUCAUCAGUGGGCCCCAGCCCUUUGUAGUAUGACUCUGCUCACUUACACCAUGUGUAGAGGCAUAUUUAGGAAUCCUAAUUCACUAUUUACCUCAAAGGGCAGUAGGGUCUAAGUGGUGCAAUUACAAUCAGUUACUCUCACAUCCUCUUCCUCCACCCCCCACCCCAUCAAUAUUGUUUUUGUUAAGAAAUAGAGAUAAAAGAUGGAGAAACAUUACCUCUCACAGGGCUGGCUGAGGAGGAACCUAAGAGGGGGAACCCCAACCAAGGCUUCCUAGCCCAAUGCUUUCGAAAGCGACCUAAAAUUAGCGCUCAUUUAUUGCCAGACAAAAAAGUCAGAAGCCCUGAAUCACACAUUACCUUACAAUUCUCACAAGCCUUGGGAAAAACACAAAAAAUGAACAAAAUGUAGUCACAACAGCCCUCGACUCUACUCCUAUUUUCCUUCUUGUCCCAUCUAGUUGAAAUAAUAAAUUGAAAAUGUGUGUAAUGUCUUUGUGAGUAAAACCAUACAUAAUAUAUGUUGUCUGAAUUUUUAAAAAGUUCUGUUACCUUACCCUCCUCCUUGACCCCACAAAAAUAAGGAUAGUGAUAUAUUUUAUUGAUCCUGAUCAAUUUUAUUAGUAAUUUAUUUCUAAUAUGUGGGAAGUGAUUGACAACUCUUUGGUAUGUUCUUCCACCAUAGUUAAUUCUAUACUAUCCAUGCUAUAAGGUUUGGUUGUUAAGAGUUUAUGGAGCUGGCUGCAGACCUGAUGCAUCGAUGCUCCUUUUUAUUAGGGCUUGGAACCAGCAACAUAAAAACAAAGGCCUGGUUGGAUUUUCUCGGAUUGUUGACUCAUAGAUUCUAUUGGUUAAAUCAUAGAAAUAUUGUUUAAGUUCCCAAAGGUAGUAGCAGUUUUUUUCUUAAUUUUUUAGAUGUAAAAUUGUUUUAGCCUAAUGGUUCAAUCCAAUGUCCUGAACAACAAAUUAUAGUAGAUUAAAUAUGUGUUUAAUGGCCAUGGGACUGGACUGUAAUUUUCUUGAAGACUAAAACAUCAAACCGGAGUCUGUUUAGUAGUCUAUAGUUUGACCAACAAAUAGUUUAAUCCAGGAUUGAACCAUUGACCUUCUAUGGUGUGUUUUUUUUAAGCAUUAUGACACUUAGUCUAAAGUGUCCAAGGAUUUGUGAGAUAAUUGAUUUAAAAAAGAGGCGACUACUAACACUGUUUAAUGCAUUUGGUGCCACCUAAUUUUUCUUUUGAUAUUCACACUUUUUUUCAUGUUUGUAAAACUAUUUAUUUCCUAUCAUUACAUAGUGUCCUACUGAACUUCUGAAUACUAUUUGAUUAAAUUGUUUGUGGUAUAUUAAACUAGUUUUCGCUAGCACUGGUAUGCUGGAGCUUGGUGAAGAUUGGCUUACAAAAUAACUUUCUGAUAGGAGUUCCGCAAAAGAUCUCUUCUUCUUUUGUAAUGGUAGUUUCAGAUUUUGGCUGUGUUAUGUUGAUGAUUUCUUUGUACUUUUAUCUUGUUAUGUAGAAUCGAAAAACCAUGGGCAUGGGGGACUCAUCUGGCUUAUAUACUAACAUAUAGCAAAACUUCAAACUUUCUUAA